RNAcentral lists this long non-coding RNA (392 nucleotides) under Salmo salar (Atlantic salmon). Its description in RNAcentral is "lncRNA (ENSSSAG00000108230.1)". The record is from RNAcentral. Lineage: Eukaryota; Metazoa; Chordata; Actinopteri; Salmoniformes; Salmonidae.
CUUCUAGGACUGGAUAAACACUACCCUAUACUGCCUUCUAGGACUGGAUAAACACUACAGUAUACUGCCUUCUAGGACUGGAUAAACACUACAGUAUACUGCCUUCUAGGACUGGAUAAACACUACCCUAUACUGCCUUCUAGGACUGGAUAUAUACUGCAGUAUACUGCCUUCUAGGACUGGAUAAACACUACCCUAUACUGCCUUCUAGGACUGGAUAAACACUACAGUAUACUGCCUUCUAGGUCUGGAUAAACACUACAGUAUACUGCUUCUAGGACUGGAUAAACACUACAGUAUACUGUCUUCUAGGACUGGAUAAACACUACAGUAUACUGUCUUCUAGGACUGGAUAAACACUACAGUAUACUGCCUUCUAGGACUGGAUAAAC